Molecule: microRNA precursor, 82 nt
Filed under: Eptesicus fuscus (big brown bat)
Lineage: Eukaryota; Metazoa; Chordata; Mammalia; Chiroptera; Vespertilionidae
Description: microRNA efu-mir-9260 precursor
Source: miRBase by way of RNAcentral
GGGGAUGCAGAGGGCCCCUCAAAGGCCUCUGGGCUCCAAAGGCCCCUAGUCGUGCUUGAGGGUGAGCCUUUUGAAGAGCUAC